UUGUGAUUUUCAUCUGAUCCUGCCUUUGCUUCCUUGUAAAUUUAGUCAAUAGCUAUGGAAUUCUUAUCUAUUUUUGUGGAAACUAACUGAUUGCUUGAUCCAGCCAGUUGCGCGGCAGAUUGGUUAUUUCUACUACUACAAGAGAAACAUGAGAUGUAUGGAUAAAGAAUGUGAGAAGCUGAAGAAUAUCAGAAUGACAAUGCAGCGAAAAGCGGAAGAUGCCAGGAGAAACUUACAA
Molecule: unclassified non-coding RNA, 238 nt
Filed under: Hevea brasiliensis (rubber tree)
Lineage: Eukaryota; Viridiplantae; Streptophyta; Magnoliopsida; Malpighiales; Euphorbiaceae
Source: RNAcentral